GACGAACGCUGGCGGCGUGCUUAACACAUGCAAGUCGAACGGAAAGGCCUGCUUUCCCUUGUGGAUUGCGGGUACUCGAGUGGCGAACGGGUGAGUAACACGUGAGUGAUCUGCCCCCAACUUGGGUAUAAGCCUGGGAAACUGGGUCUAAUUCCCGAUAGGACUGCAGGGUGGUGCCUGUGGUGGAAAACGAUUUUCUAGUGGUUGGGGAUGAGCUCGCGGCCUAUCAGCUUGUUGGUGGGGUAAUGGCCUACCAAGGCGGCGACGGGUAGCCGGCCUGAGAGGGUGGACGGCCACAUUGGGACUGAGAUACGGCCCAUACUCCUACGGGAGGCAGCAGUGGGGAAUAUUGCACAAUGGGCGGGAGCCUGAUGCAGCGACGCCGCGUGGGGGAUGACGGCCUUCGGGUUGUAAACUCCUUUCGACCGCGAGGAAGCCACCUGGUUGGAAGGGUGGUGACGGUAGUGGUAGAAGAAGCACCGGCUAACUACGUG
This 494-nucleotide ribosomal RNA is filed under the name uncultured bacterium. RNAcentral's name for it is "partial 16S ribosomal RNA". It matches the Rfam family "Bacterial small subunit ribosomal RNA", at positions 28 to 507 of the family's 1533-position model. The record is from RNAcentral.